AUUGAACGCUGGCGGCAUGCUUUACACAUGCAAGUCGAACGGUAACAGGCCGCAAGGUGCUGACGAGUGGCGCACGGGUGAGUAAUGCAUCGGAACGUGCCCAGUCGUGGGGGAUAACUACUCGAAAGAGUAGCUAAUACCGCAUACGAUCUAUGGAUGAAAGCGGGGGACCGUAAGGCCUCGCGCGAUUGGAGCGGCUGAUGUCAGAUUAGGUAGUUGGUGGGGUAAAGGCUCACCAAGCCAACGAUCUGUAGCUGGUCUGAGAGGACGACCAGCCACACUGGGACUGAGACACGGCCCAGACUCCUACGGGAGGCAGCAGUGGGGAAUUUUGGACAAUGGGCGCAAGCCUGAUCCAGCAAUGCCGCGUGCAGGAAGAAGGCCUUCGGGUUGUAAACUGCUUUUGUACGGAACGAAACGGCUCUGGUUAAUACCCGGGGCUAAUGACGGUACCGUAAGAAUAAGCACCGGCUAACUACGUG
Molecule: ribosomal RNA, 482 nt
Filed under: uncultured bacterium
Lineage: Bacteria
Description: partial 16S ribosomal RNA
Rfam family: Bacterial small subunit ribosomal RNA
Source: RNAcentral